This 200-nucleotide long non-coding RNA is filed under the name Trifolium pratense (red clover). RNAcentral describes it as "long non-coding RNA (TPRA_LNC005382)". Lineage: Eukaryota; Viridiplantae; Streptophyta; Magnoliopsida; Fabales; Fabaceae. The record is from RNAcentral.
UUUUGUGUCAAAUAUUAUUCUUCCUUAGAGCAUGUACAUAUCAUCAGUGUUUUGCUUUUAAUUUUUUUUUUUUUUUGCAGCAUGCUAGACUUCUGAUGUGAAUUUUAUUUUUUGAUGUGUUACUAGUUUGGGCAGCACGCCUCAUUUUUAACAUGUAGUCUGGAGAAAUUAGGACAGUUCUGUGGGACUCUCUUUGUAAU